Procambarus clarkii (red swamp crayfish) is the source of this 554-nucleotide non-coding RNA. The record is from RefSeq and is a predicted model, not a curated record. NCBI's taxonomy places the organism in Eukaryota, Metazoa, Arthropoda, Malacostraca, Decapoda, Cambaridae.
AAGAAAACAAGAUAAACCUUACAUGAAGCUGCUGAGCAUUUGUUUCGUAUCGUCAUUGACUCUCGAGUUGGCAAAGCUGAUGCAGGAGCAGUAUAGCGCAACCCAAGCACACCACUUCAACUGCAAAUGACAGCCCUGAGGUUACCUGAGGUUUCAAUCAACUUGCCUAAAAGGUCAACACUUCAAAAACGAAGGGUGAACAGGAGCACUGUCAGGGGCCACGAAAGCCUGAGCUGUUGUUUGACGUCUGCAUUUUGAGUGGGAAUGUUGCUGGCGAGCUGCUCCUGUAUGUCGUCUGCUGGUCCACAACAGUGCUGGUGGAGGCCGAGGGUUCCGGGCCACGGGGACCUCGGUUGCCAGAUCCAAACUGCGGUAACGGUUUCUGCCCUCCUAUCUUAUUGUGAGGUGAAGUCACCGUAUAUAAGCAAGCGAUUUGAGAAUAGCAAACCUCUGGAGACAUCUCCCGUCACGCAGGGUGCAGUCGCACCUCCACAGAUCUCCAGUAUCAGCUCUUAAUACUGGUAAUGGCUCAAAAGGGCCACCACUUACAGGCU